This is a non-coding RNA of Heterocephalus glaber (naked mole-rat), 2474 nucleotides long. Lineage: Eukaryota; Metazoa; Chordata; Mammalia; Rodentia; Bathyergidae. The record is from RefSeq and is a predicted model, not a curated record.
ACUGCCUGGCACAAGGAAAGAGUCCCUGAGCAGCCCUGUGGAGGCUGGCUCUGUAAGCCCGGGACGGUGGGGAGGCACUGAGCUCAGCUGGGCACUGCAGAGGCCUGGCGUCGUCAGGCAGUUGCCACAGACAAGCAGGUGCAAUUACUAAGCGAAGCCCCAAGAACAGAGCCGCGAUCAGUGUUUGACCCAAGGAAACUGCGUUGAGGGUUCACAGACCAGAGAGUCCCGAGUCGUGAGAGUGUCACAGGGUCCAGUCCUUCAGAGCAGGGGCUGUGGAAGUCAGGUGAUGAACGGAUCUGUCUACGGGGGCUGAGACAUUUGCCAAGAUUGCCAUAUGGUAAACGGAUACGUGCUUCAGCUGGGGCCUCAGUCGCAGACCAUGUGUGAUCCAUUGCUGGGGUGUCCUGUACUGCAUGGGCUGACCAAGGAACUUAUUUUACGGUAAAAGAGAUAGACCAAUGGAUUGGCACCUACUGGGCCCCAUGGCUGAAGAGAAGUGUCGUGGGAAGCUGAUGACUGCCCUUUGAAGAGCCACUUAGGCUCCAGGGGAAGAACACGCCCUGGUGAGGCCCCAGGCUGCAGGAUGUCAGGCCUGCGUGACAUCAGCCCCCAGCAGUGGCUCUCUGUGACCUGCUGCAUGACCUAUGAUGGGAUUGCAGGCAGGAAGGCAGCUCCCAGGUAGCACAGCUCUGCCUGUUCCCAGAGUCCCUUGGGUAGCUCUUCUAGGACAUCCUGGUCCCUGUCCACUGGCAAGGCCCCCUCGGCCUGGCAAGUCCUGGGAAUGGAAAGCGGUGUUUCAGGGCCUCCGUGCUGUGUCCUCGUCUUUUCUCAGGGUUGAUGGGUGCGGCCUCCUCAGAAGGCUCCAGGUGAGAAGGUCUCUUCUAAGUUUGUGCAAGCGGCUGUCAGCAGCGUUUAUUUCUGUGAUGGCUGCUGGGGACCCCGCUUCCUCACUGGGGCUUGGGGGUGGCCUUCUUUACAGUGCUCUGCACAGUGCUUCAUCAGGAGGUUCACUGCAGAGCCAGAUUUCUCUCUGGUAGGCAUCACGGUAGGUAACAAUCCAACCUUGGAGGUAACGUGCCUGUGUUUCUGUCACAUCCUCUACAUUGGGAAGCAGUCAUGAGAUCAGCUCUCAUGCAUACACACGUGUGCACCCACACACUCACUCACCCACCCACUCAGGGGCAUGAGUACCAAGGUAGAGAUCACUAGGACUGCUGUAGAAGCAGCCUACCUAAAGGGAUUUAUUUUGGGUGAAAGAAUUGAAGCAGGAGAUGUGAGCCCGCAGUGCCUGGCUCAUCCCUGCCCAAGAGUCCAAGGUGACAGAAACUGCGGCAGCUCAGUAGAGACAGGCUGGUGACCAAAGUCCCAGAGAGACAAGGCUGUCGUUCCAUCUGGCAAAGAGGGUGCAGGGGGCUCUGCUGAGAGGAAGCGGAGCACAGUGGCAGAGGAAGGAAGCUGUGAUGAUCGGCAUGUUCUGCGGAAGUGCAAAGAGCCUCAGCAAGGUGAUGAGAUUACUUCCUUGCAAGGGUCCAUGGUGCUGUGUUUUAGGAGUCAGGUGGGACUGUGACACAUUGACAUUGUUGCGUUGAUACAGAGCUUCUGGAAUUCACUGGGCUCCUGUGGUGAGGACAUGAGUGUCCCAUCCAAAGCCUAGUGCAGCAAGAGUAGUGUGUGCAUGCGUGUGUGUGUGUGUGUGUGCACGCGUGGGUGUGGGUGUGCUGGGUGUGUUGUGCUGCACUCUGUGCUUUUCAGGUCCACUCCCGACUUUGUACGUCAUCCCUCUGCGCACCGUGAGGUGAACUUCCAAUGAUUGCUGGAUUCCUGUUGGCUUCGGCCAGUGAGUCACUGGAGGCCCAGGAGACAGAAGGGAGAGUGCUUCUCUGUUCCCUGAGUCCCUUCUGGGCCCCAGUUUGGCGAUGGCUGCUUUCUCCUGUGAAAGGCACAGCUCCAACCAGAAGGCCACAUCCUCUGGAGCCACAGCUCCUGCCGCAGCAACAGAAAAGCUCGGCACUGCUGCAGGCCCAGGGUGCGUCCCAUCCCCUGGGGUUUCUUUCCACAGUGCCCAGGUCUUCUUCAGCUCCAUCCCUUUUGUGCAAACCACCUGCUUUGCACGAGGGCCACCCUCAGAUAAGCGACUGACUCAGGAAUGUUUGUGAGUAAGUGUGGUUUCCAUUCUGGAUAAGGUAAGCAAUGCUCAUGAGUUCUUCAGCAUGGUUUAUUAUAAAUUCUGCCUUGUGUUUAAACAUGGUGUUCAACGCAUCAGUCAUGGCGUGAAAUCUGCCCCAAGCACUUUGAUCAUGGAGACAGGAGCUGAGGGACGCUUGGAGAGGAUUGUCACUGGGCACCACUGCCCUUGGCCAGAGGACCUCUGUCUGGCUGGAGUUCAUCCAGUCACUUGGAGCUCUAGGCUCACAGUUUACUCACAAAAGGAACUGGCAAGUGUGAGCCCCUGCAGACCUUCUUGGAUAGAG